RNAcentral lists this ribosomal RNA (253 nucleotides) under uncultured bacterium. Its description in RNAcentral is "partial 16S ribosomal RNA". It matches the Rfam family "Bacterial small subunit ribosomal RNA", at positions 524 to 776 of the family's 1533-position model. The record is from RNAcentral.
UACAGAGGGGGCAAGCGUUAUUCGGAAUUAUUGAACGUAAAAAGCGCGUAGGCGGCCUGACAAGUGGAAGGUGAAAUCCCUCGGCUCAACUGAGGAACUACCCUCCAAACUGUGUGGCUUGAGACCGGGAGAGGUGAGUGGAAUUCCCAGUGUAGCGGUGAAAUGCAUAGAUAUUGGGAGGAACACCAGUGGCGAAGGCGGCUCACUGGACCGGAACUGACGCUGAGACGCGAAAGCGUGGGGAACAAACGGG